This 271-nucleotide long non-coding RNA is filed under the name Setaria viridis. RNAcentral's name for it is "long non-coding RNA (SVIR_LNC008426)". The record is from RNAcentral. Lineage: Eukaryota; Viridiplantae; Streptophyta; Magnoliopsida; Poales; Poaceae.
UGGAUGGUUACUCGGAAUGGUGCGUCCUAUUUUAUCGGGAAGGUCUCGUGGCACCGAUCGAGAUGCGCGUUAGAUGGAUGCUCCCAAAUGCGAGUCCUUUCUAUUGUACCAGCAGCAUCUUGGAUAUGAGCUUCGUUCAGCUACGGAUUCCCAGUCGGUCGAUCUGUGACUCUGACGGUGUGUGUCUGCACCUGCUUACUUCAGCGGUUCAGCCUCGUUGAUGAUUCAGUAAACGCACUUACGACUUACUUAAAAAAAGGAUUCAGUAACC